UGGGGGAAGAGCAGCUGAGAACAGCUUCACCUGUUGGAUUGUUGUGGGGCCCCUGAAAUGAAAUGGGGGGGUUGGAUGGGGCGUAAGGAAUCAGAAACAUGCAGGCAGGGAGGGGCUGCCUUGGCACCCCUUCCCGUCGUCUCCUGUCAAACGGCCGGCGGAGCGAGAAGUCCAACAGGUGUAGGGCAGGAUCGGGUAUCCCAGCACCUGGCUAGGCGCCCGGGCUCCUUUUGUGCGCCAGCAGCUGCUGCGGCUUCCAAGUUUUCCCCUUUCUUUCCCAAUCCUUGUUUCUCUUUCUCUUCCCCAGGUGAACUCCUUCAAGGAGAACCUUUGCGUCCAGGCCGAAGAACUUGUUGCCAGAAGAUUUCCUGAGAAAGUUGUAGAACUCAGUAAUUUUCUGAAGGCCCCUGAAUUAAAUGUGGCAGACCUGGUUUCGCUCCGUGCUGAAUUAGAUAUCCCCAUGCCGGAUCCCAAAAAGGACGAGGAACGUCGCAAACAGCGGGAGGUAAGCAAGAACACACAAUUGCGUGGAAGGCCGCGAAGCCUCAGUGUCUGCUGACACUUUUGGAUUGUAAAAAC
Molecule: long non-coding RNA, 579 nt
Filed under: Laticauda laticaudata (blue-ringed sea krait)
Lineage: Eukaryota; Metazoa; Chordata; Lepidosauria; Squamata; Elapidae
Description: lncRNA (ENSLLTG00000008606.1)
Source: RNAcentral